AUGGAAAAGCGCCAGCUAUCCCCAGCUGAGUUCAACCUGAGGAAGCUUCUGAAACAGAGGAUUAUCGGUCUUGCGGCCGUCGAGCGUGCGCGUCGUCGCCAAGCUUCUCGGAUAACAUGGCUCAAGGCCGGAGAUGCAACCACUGCUUUCUUCACUGCAAAGGCCUGCUCAAGGAGGAGAAAAAAUUUCAUUCACUCUCUGCGAUCUGAAGAUCAUGUGGCGAUCGAGCAUGACGAGAAGGCUGCCACCAUUUAUGAGCAUUUCAAGAAAAUCAUGGGAGCCGCUGAACCCAGGAAAUGCACCGUUAACUGGGAAGCUCUAAACCUGCCAACGAUCCAAGCUGAUGGACUUGAUGCUCCUUUCACUGAAGCGGAAGUUUGGAGAGCGAUCAUUGAAUCCCCGGCAGAAAAAGCCCCUGGGCCUGACGGUUUCAGCGGACAAUUUUUCAGAAGCUGCUGGGACAUCAUAAAAGAUGAGGUGAUGGCAGUGUUCAACCAGUUCCACAGCCUAUCCGGGCCUUGCUUCCUAAGAAAGAUGGAGCUGAAUCUGUGGGAGAUUUUCGGCCGAUAA
Molecule: ribosomal RNA, 570 nt
Filed under: Triticum aestivum (bread wheat)
Lineage: Eukaryota; Viridiplantae; Streptophyta; Magnoliopsida; Poales; Poaceae
Description: partial small subunit ribosomal RNA
Source: RNAcentral